GUGCUCACUUCAGCAGUACAUAUACUACAACUGGAAUGAUAGAUUAGCAUGGCCCCUGUGCAAGGUGACAUGCAAAUUUGUGGUGUUCUAUAUUAAA
Molecule: small nuclear RNA, 97 nt
Organism: Equus caballus (horse)
Lineage: Eukaryota; Metazoa; Chordata; Mammalia; Perissodactyla; Equidae
Source: Ensembl